GACGAACGCUGGCGGCGUGCUUAACACAUGCAAGUCGAACGGAAAGGCCCUGCUUUUGUGGGGUGCUCGAGUGGCGAACGGGUGAGUAACACGUGAGUAACCUGCCCUUGACUUUGGGAUAACUUCAGGAAACUGGGGCUAAUACCGGAUAGGAGCUCCUGCUGCAUGGUGGGGGUUGGAAAGUUUCGGCGGUUGGGGAUGGACUCGCGGCUUAUCAGCUUGUUGGUGGGGUAGUGGCUUACCAAGGCUUUGACGGGUAGCCGGCCUGAGAGGGUGACCGGCCACAUUGGGACUGAGAUACGGCCCAGACUCCUACGGGAGGCAGCAGGGGGGAAUAUUGCACAAUGGGCGGAAGCCUGAUGCAGCAACGCCGCGUGCGGGAUGACGGCCCUCGGGUUGUAAACCGCUUUCGCCUGUGACGAAGCGUGAGUGACGGUAAUGGGUAAAGAAGCACCGGCUAACUACGUG
This 468-nucleotide ribosomal RNA is filed under the name uncultured bacterium. RNAcentral describes it as "partial 16S ribosomal RNA". It matches the Rfam family "Bacterial small subunit ribosomal RNA", at positions 28 to 507 of the family's 1533-position model. The record is from RNAcentral.